This 87-nucleotide transfer RNA is filed under the name Caldisericia bacterium. Its description in RNAcentral is "tRNA-Leu". It matches the Rfam family "tRNA". From Rfam's summary of the family: Transfer RNA (tRNA) molecules are approximately 80 nucleotides in length. Their secondary structure includes four short double-helical elements and three loops (D, anti-codon, and T loops). Further hydrogen bonds mediate the characteristic L-shaped molecular structure. tRNAs have two regions of fundamental functional importance: the anti-codon, which is responsible for specific mRNA codon recognition, and the 3' end, to which the tRNAs corresponding amino acid is attached (by aminoacyl-tRNA synthetases). tRNAs cope with the degeneracy of the genetic code in two manners: having more than one tRNA (with a specific anti-codon) for a particular amino acid; and 'wobble' base-pairing, i.e. permitting non-standard base-pairing at the 3rd anti-codon position. Lineage: Bacteria; Pseudomonadati; Caldisericota; Caldisericia. The record is from RNAcentral.
GCCGAAGUGGCGAAAUUGGCAGACGCGGCAGACUCAAAAUCUGCAGGGGUUCAGAGCCCCGUGAGGGUUCAACUCCCUCCUUCGGCA